Monodelphis domestica (gray short-tailed opossum) is the source of this 1151-nucleotide long non-coding RNA. The record is from Ensembl. NCBI's taxonomy places the organism in Eukaryota, Metazoa, Chordata, Mammalia, Didelphimorphia, Didelphidae.
CUUGAUAAUUUUAUUUAUUUUUAAAUUUUAAUAAAUUUACUAUAAUUUUAUUUAAUAAAUUUAAAUAAACCCAAAGGCUUGGCAUUUGAGGGUAAAUAACUUGCCCAGGGUCACACAGCUAGAAAGUGUCUGAAGUCACUUUUGAACCCAGGACCUCUCUGUCUCCAGACCUGGCUCUCUUUCCCCGGAGCCACCUCACGGUUCCUCAGGCAAGAGGAAGCAUUUUUGCAACAGCCAAGUGUGCAGAAUGAGUAUUCUCAGACCAUCCAGACUUGCUUGUGAGGUUCAGAGGCCACUGGGUUGAGACUGACAGCAGCAGGUGUCGGCUUCAUUGCUCUACCCCCCCCCCCCUUGGAGGCCUAAUUCACUUUCCCUGAAAACCUCUUGUUUUAGGAAUGGCGACCCGGGACUCGGGGGUCUCUCUUGCAAACAUCUCCUGGCGUUGCGGAGGUGGGCUGCUCAAUUUAACUGCCAGGUCCCAGGGCCAUGUGAUGAGGCAGCCUGGGCCAGCUCGCCCUGUGAAUUAGUCAGGGGGGGUUAAAUAAAGGCUCUCUGAUGGAAAGGACGAUAAAAGUUCCUGCUAUUCACUGGUGAGCUCCCAGGGCCAGUUGGUCCAGUUUUUACUGCUGUGUUCCAGCCGUGUUAAUCUCAUCAGCACUCUCCCAGCUUCCUGUUCGCCUGUUGAGGGGAAGGGACAAGGGACCAGCGGAAAGAGCUCCCGGUUUGCCAGUCAGAAGAGCCGAGCUCCAUUCCCAGCUCUCCCGUUCCCCAUCUCACCGCACGACCUUGGAAAGGAGAUGGCUCCCUUUGCCCCCGUUUUCCCCUCUAGAAAGAGGAGUCGUAACAAAAGCUCAUCCUAGUAAAGUCAUCGUCUUCAAAAGGGCGGGCAACGAGGACAGAAACGAAAGAUCCUGUCCUGAGAAUAACGACGGGAGAGUUGAGAAAAAGCAUCCCUUCCUACACGAUAGACCAUCAGUCAGGAGAGAUGAGUUGAUUUCUGAGGUACCUACCUGCUCACACUGAAAACCUAACCCCAAUUUCGUCAGCGCAUCCCUCCAUGGCAAAAGAAUGAAUGAAUGAAUGAAUGAAUGAAUGAUGAAUGGUAAAUCAUUUAUUGUUUGCUAUAUGCCAAAUUGGAGAUGAAAAUAAAA